RNAcentral lists this ribosomal RNA (1290 nucleotides) under Triticum aestivum (bread wheat). RNAcentral describes it as "partial small subunit ribosomal RNA". Lineage: Eukaryota; Viridiplantae; Streptophyta; Magnoliopsida; Poales; Poaceae. The record is from RNAcentral.
AUGGACAGUGGAGACGAGUUUUUCUUCCAUCACUUCCUUUGUUCAUCGGAUGAUUCGUCGUCGGAUGAUGAAGAUCUCGUGGUGGCUGCACUGGUCGUUCACGACCACAUUCAACGACAGCUUCCUCGGUACAGGGGGUUAGUCCCUAGCCGUGCUCCCAACCUGAACCGCAACAGGAAGAGAGGCCAUGCCCUGCUCUAUGCCGAUUACUUUGCCAACACCCCGCUCUUCAAGCCGGAUAAAUUUCGUCGCCGUUUUCGAAUGGCAAGGCAUGUGUUCAAUCGUAUCCGAGAGGGAGUGGUUGCUCAUGACCCAUACUUCGAGUGCAAGACGGAUACCCUUGGAAAGCUUGGAUUCUCCUCUUACCAGAAAUGCACCGCGGCCAUCCGCAUGCUUGCAUAUGGAAUUCCAGGCGAUCUGGUGGAUGAGUAUGUGUGUAUGAGUGAGACAACAUGCCUGAUGUCAAUGUACAAGUUUUGCCAAGCUGUGAUCGAGGUGUUUGGCCAAGAGUACUUCAGGAAGCCAACUGCCGCUGAUACAGAGAGAUUGUUGGUGACCAACACAGCUAGAGGCUUUCCAGGCAUGCUUGGCAGCAUAGAUUGUAUGCACUGGGAGUGGAAGAACUGUCCAUUUCCUUGGCAGGGCCAGUACAAAGGGCAUGUCAAGGCGUGCACUGUCAUAUUAGAAGCGGUGGCAUCACAGGAUCUUUGGAUAUGGCAUUCUUUCUUCGGCAUGGCAGGUUCUCACAAUGAUAUCAACGUGCUGCAGCGUUCUCCAGUCUUCGCGAGGCUUGCAGAAGGCCACUCCCCACCUAUCAACUUUGAGAUCAACGGCCACCAGUACAACAAGGGAUACUAUCUAGCAGAUGGUAUAUAUCCUCAGUGGUCAAUUUUUGUGAAGACAAUCUCGAAACCCCAAGGUGAGAAGAGAAAGAGAUUUGCCCAAAUGCAAGAGAGUGUUAGAAAGGAUGUGGAACGUGCUUUUGGUGUGCUUCAAUCCCGGUGGGGUAUCAUUCGAAACCCUGCACUGUCAUGGGAUGAAAGGAAGCUUUGGGAGGUGACGACUGCUUGUGUGAUCAUGCACAACAUGAUCGUCGAGGACGAGCGUGAUGAGAGUAUCUUCGACCAAGGAUUUGAUUAUCAAGGUGAAAAUAUUGAGCCCCUGCACCAAGACCCGACCACAUUUGAACAGUUUGCCCAAUUCCACCGUGAGAUGCGUGAUUGGCACACUCAUUUGAAUCUUCAAAAUGACUUGGUAGAGCACGUGUGGGAUCACAUUGGCAACCAAUAG